Molecule: long non-coding RNA, 1902 nt
Organism: Neofelis nebulosa (Clouded leopard)
Lineage: Eukaryota; Metazoa; Chordata; Mammalia; Carnivora; Felidae
Exons: 3
Source: RefSeq, a predicted model, not a curated record
GAGCCCACGGAGCAGCUGGAGACCGGCCACCCCGAGGAUGGCAGGGCCGGGCUCUCCGGGGAGGACGGCGGGGCCGAGGACGUGCUGGGCAUGAAUGGGGCUCUUCCUCGGUCUCACCUGCCUGUGUCCCCAUCCUGCCCCUGACACCGGCACUCGGAUUUCCCUGCCUCCUCUCGCAAGACCUUUCUGGUGAUGCUUUAACCUGGAGGUUGACACGCGCCUUCCCUCUAGGAGGGGCGUAUGGCUCUCCUUCCGCAGCCUGGUGUCUCCGUAGACGAGAGGUAGAAUGGGGAGUUUAAGGAACUUCGGUUUCUCAGCUAAGUUCCUGAAUCCCAGGGAAGGCACGAGGCUGUAAGAACUUGGUCAAACGAGCAUGAGGAAGUUCCCGAGACUUAAAUCUUCCCCCCAGAGUCGCAGACCUUCCGCUUCUCUAUCCCCUGCUUCCUUCGAGCCCCUCCGGGUCCCCUCCCGUGCCCACUUGUCCAGCGGCUGUGACCACACAGUGCAGGGCCGUGUCGUCCUCGGCAACCUCACUUAUCUCCGAAACAGCCAUCAAAGCAGGACUCCGAGGAGAAGCUGGUUCUCUGCUCAGGUGUGUCUAACUUGGGCAGAUCGACACCUUCCUUCCUGAGCACACUUGGAUCCUCACACACGAAGAUUUCCUUGUUAUGCCCAACAGACAGCAUCUUUUCUGUCUGAAGUCUGUUUUGUAAGCCACAAAAACCUGUGUGACGUUACAGCGGACAGACUGAACCAAGUGUCGCGAUCUGCUCUGGGGAAAAUGUUGCCUCCGUCAGCUGAUGAAGAAAUAAUACUGAAGCGCGCAGGCCGCAGAAGUCACAGUGCUACUGUCAUAGGACAAGGACAGUCCUCUAAACGUGGCCCUUCUUCCAGGUGACCCUCAAUGUUUAUGACCUUUAGAAAUAAGCAGAAAGAAAAAAGAAAGAAGCAGAGGCCCAGCACCCAAACCCACGUAUCCCACCAGCAUCUCACUGGGAAAACCUGCCUCCCUGAAUGAGCAGUCCUUACUAACAUGGGGAUCCUCUCCUUGCGAAUGCAGGGAUCCAGUCCUUGCAAACUCAGAGAUCCAGUCCCUACACACUUGGAUCCAGUCCUUGCAAACUCAGGGAUCCAGUCUUUAUGAACUCAGGGAUUCAGUCCUUACAAACUCAAGGACCCAGUCCUUGUAAACUCAGGGAUCCAGUCUUUGGAAACUCAGGGAUCCAGUCCUUGCAAACUCAGGGAUCCAGUCUUUAUGAACUCAGGGAUUCAGUCCUUACAAACUCAAGGACCCAGUCCUUGUAAACUCAGGGAUCCAGUCUUUGGAAACUCAGGGAUCCAGUCCUUGCAAACUCAGGGAUCCAGUCUUUAUGAACUCAGGGAUUCAGUCCUUACAAACUCAAGGGUCCAGUCCUUGCAAACUCAGAGAUCCAGUCCCUACAAACUCAGGGAUCCAGUCCUUGCAAACUCAGGAUCCAGUCCUUGCAAACUCAGGAUCCAGUCUUUACAAACUCAGGGAAGGGAUCCAGUCCCUACAAACUCAAGGAUCCAGUCCUUGCAAACUCGGGAUUCAGUCCUUGCAAACUCAGGGAUCCAGUCCCUGCAAACUCAGGGAUCCAAUCUCUGCAAACUGAGGGAUCCGGUCCAGCAGGUGGUCUCCUCAGCACAGUCACCACAGACAGCCUGGCUGGGAGCUGAGCACAGGCAUCCAGGGCCAUGUGCUUUCUUUCCUUUCGUGCAGCCCGAGGCAGGGGUUUUAAGUAGCCGCACUUGUCGUGUCCUUUGGCUUUAAAGCCAUGGUGUUUCCUGGGGUCACUGCUAUGGCUUGUCGUGCUGCUUUCCACGUGGGCUUUGUUUUGGGGCCUCAGUACAGGAUGUUAUUGGAUCUCUGUUGCAUUUUCU